This 497-nucleotide ribosomal RNA is filed under the name uncultured bacterium. RNAcentral describes it as "partial 16S ribosomal RNA". It matches the Rfam family "Bacterial small subunit ribosomal RNA", at positions 28 to 507 of the family's 1533-position model. The record is from RNAcentral.
GAUGAACGCUGGCGGCGUGCCUAAUACAUGCAAGUCGAGCGAACGGACGAGAAGCUUGCUUCUCUGAUGUUAGCGGCGGACGGGUGAGUAACACGUGGAUAACCUACCUAUAAGACUGGGAUAACUUCGGGAAACCGGAGCUAAUACCGGAUAAUAUUUUGAACCGCAUGGUUCAAAAGUGAAAGACGGUCUUGCUGUCACUUAUAGAUGGAUCCGCGCUGCAUUAGCUAGUUGGUAAGGUAACGGCUUACCAAGGCAACGAUGCAUAGCCGACCUGAGAGAGUGAUCGGCGACACUGGAACUGAGACACGGUCCAGACUCCUACGGGAGGCAGCAGUAGGGAAUCUUCCGCAAUGGGCGAAAGCCUGACGGAGCAACGCCGCGUGAGUGAUGAAGGUCUUCGGAUCGUAAAACUCUGUUAUUAGGGAAGAACAUAUGUGUAAGUAACUGUGCACAUCUUGACGAUACCUAAUCAGAAAGCCACGGCUAACUACGUG